Long non-coding RNA from Dicentrarchus labrax (European seabass), 802 nucleotides. RefSeq lists it as uncharacterized. The transcript has 3 exons. The record is from RefSeq and is a predicted model, not a curated record. NCBI's taxonomy places the organism in Eukaryota, Metazoa, Chordata, Actinopteri, Moronidae.
CAUCUGUUGACUCAAGGCUCAAACUUGGUGGACUGUGCAGGAAACUGACAGCAAGUGUUUAAAACGGGAACUGCAGUCAAAUUCAAAACAUUGCAGCAAGCUGUCUUGCCUGGGUUGCCAGGUUGAGGACACUGAACCUACAACACAUGACCUUCUUCCCUCAGUGGAUCAUCAGGCAUAAAUGGUUCCAAAACAAUUUUCAUCUGGCUGAGUCACCACUGAAGAGCAAAAAACAGAAUGGAAUGUAACAGAGGAGCUGGGGAAAGACAGACGUGCACAUUGAAGAUAAUUUCUGCAGUACAUGCUUAAAAAAACAGCUAAAACAGCCAUGCAUUUUCUCCACGGCCAAGGGCUCAGGAUGUUGUUACUUUUUUCAAUCAUCAGAGUAGCUGUGAGUGUCACAGACUAGCCCUCCUCCAUCCUGCCGGGCUGACGGUGCUGUUGAGUCUGACACUGGAUGAUUUAGGGGAAGAUGGGCCUAAACAGGUCAGUCUCCACACCUACCCCAUGAGCCCUGUUUGGGAGUAAGAAGAUAUGUUUUCUUGCUGACUUGUACCAGAGGAGGGACUAGCUGGAGUAUGUGGCUUUCUGUCAUUUUGAUGAAUUUCUAAAACAUGUGCUUUAUUUGUAUACCUAUGUGAUUUCUCCUUGUUAAUCCGAUUAUUAGGAAAGCGACAAGAUGGCAUUAUAUAUAUAUUUUUUUCCUUAAAGUUUUCUCGUACCAUCAAAUGGCUUCACUUUCAAUGUGCACGACUAUGUUUGCACUUGCCAGUAAGUCAUCUGGUGCACCCCUGCUAUUAGC